This 437-nucleotide ribosomal RNA is filed under the name uncultured bacterium. RNAcentral's name for it is "partial 16S ribosomal RNA". It matches the Rfam family "Bacterial small subunit ribosomal RNA", at positions 29 to 507 of the family's 1533-position model. The record is from RNAcentral.
AGCGAACGCUGGCGGCAGGCUUAACACAUGCCAGUCGAGCGGGCACCUUUCGGGGUGUCCGCGGCGGACGGGUGAGUACCGCGUGGGAACGUGCCCUCUGGUUCGGAAUAACUCAGGGAAACUUGAGCUAAUACCGGAUACGCCCUUUUGGGGAAAGGCUUGCUGCCGGAGGAUCGGCCCGCGUCUGAUUAGCUAGUUGGUGAGGUAACGGCUCACCAAGGCGACGAUCAGUAGCUGGUCUGAGAGGAUGAUCAGCCACACUGGGACUGAGACACGGCCCAGACUCCUACGGGAGGCAGCAGUGGGGAAUAUUGGACAAUGGGCGCAAGCCUGAUCCAGCCAUGCCGCGUGAGUGAUGAAGGCCUUAGGGUUGUAAAGCUCUUUUAUCCGGGACGAUAAUGACGGUACCGGAGGAAUAAGCCCCGGCUAACUUCGUG